ACCCAUAAGUGCUUUCUUUAAAAGAGAAAGCUCUUCAAGAACCUUAAACACAGUUCUGUUGCAGAGUUUCCGACCAAAAGCCAGUUUCUUCUUUAUCUGAUAGAGAGAAAGAAAGAGAGGCAUGGGAGAAGUUACAAACCAUAUUGGUACUAGUAUUAAUUACAAUGGAGAAGAAAGAGAACAAGGAGACGCAGAGAGCAACACACUGAACCAACCUCUUGUUAAGGCUAAUCGAAAACUUUCUUCCACACCACUUGCUUUGGUCGGCACCAAAGUUUCUCACAUCGAGAGCUUGGAUUAUGAGUAUGUCUUCUUCUUCUUUC
Molecule: long non-coding RNA, 323 nt
Filed under: Brassica rapa (field mustard)
Lineage: Eukaryota; Viridiplantae; Streptophyta; Magnoliopsida; Brassicales; Brassicaceae
Description: long non-coding RNA (BRAP_LNC001527)
Source: RNAcentral